RNAcentral lists this ribosomal RNA (497 nucleotides) under uncultured bacterium. RNAcentral describes it as "partial 16S ribosomal RNA". It matches the Rfam family "Bacterial small subunit ribosomal RNA", at positions 28 to 507 of the family's 1533-position model. The record is from RNAcentral.
GAUGAACGCUGGCGGCGUGCCUAAUACAUGCAGGUCGAGCGAACGGACGAGAAGCUUGCUUCUCUGAUGUUAGCGGCGGACGGGUGAGUAACACGUGGAUAACCUACCUAUAAGACUGGGAUAACUUCGGGAAACCGUAGCUAAUACCGGAUAAUAUUUUGAACCGCAUGGUUCAAAAGUGAAAGUCGGUCUUGCUGUCACUUAUAGAUGGAUCCGCGCUGCAUUAGCUAGUUGGUAAGGUAACGGCUUACCAAGGCAACGAUGCAUAGCCGACCUGAGAGGGUGAUCGGCCACACUGGAACUGAGACACGGUCCAGACUCCUACGGGAGGCAGCAGUAGGGAAUCUUCCGCAAAGGGCGAAAGCCUGACGGAGCAACGCCGCGUGAGUGAUGAAGGUCUUCGGAUCGUAAAACUCUGUUAUUAGGGAAGAACAUAUGUGUAAGUAACUGUGCACAUCUUGACGGUACCUAAUCAGAAAGCCACGGCUAACUACGUG